CACAAAUCAAUUUUAGGGUUUCUCACUCUUCGUAGCAUUUUAUCCGCCCCAUAGAGCUGCUUUCUCUCCAGGCGAUUCAAAAGGAGAUCUAGGGUUUCUCGUGGCGAAGCAAGAUCUGGCUUUCUCAAUGACACCAGAUCAAUGAAUCUCUCUCUAUACGACACCCAAUUGACUGUGUUCGAAGGUGGUGAAGGGUUCGAAUUUGAUUUUAGGGUUUUUAAGAUGCACAUCGCCAGAUCUAGGGUUACGAAAUCUUUUUUUCACCUCCUUUCUCUUCACAUCAUACCAUCACAGUUAGUGUGACAAUGAAUUAGGGUUUUCACUUUGGGGGAAACUUUGCAACAUUUUCAGAUUCGGCUGAUUUUCUCUCAUCAGGUGAAAUCAAGGAGGCAGUUGAGCUUCCUCUAACUCACAGUUCUCAAUAGAGUUGGGCUGAUCAAGUCCCAAUUGCUAUAGCUCCUCUCAAUUGCGUCCCGUACACGGGCCCGCCUCUUGACGACUCUGAUGACAUGGUGGUAUGUGAUUAGCCCAUGAUGGUUUAUCUGCCUGAACAACCCACUGAAAAAGAGAAGGAUGCCUUGAUGGCAGUCACCAAACAUGGAGUAUUGGUUACUGGGAGUGCUGCAAAUGAGUUAAUGGCACCGAUUAUGGGGUCGUAUAACCCUUCUGAAUCCGAUGAUGGAUUUCUAUUUCGCUUUGCACUUCCAGGUGUCAGCGACAAUGAAGAGUUUAAAUGUGAGAUUCGGACGGAUGGAGAUAUCCUAAUCCAAGGCAUGACAAACACUGGGCAGAAAGAGGUUCAGGCCCACAACAUGACGUUCGAUAUGUACACACAAUAUCUUUGUCCACCUGGCGACUUCGAGGUUCG
Helianthus annuus (common sunflower) is the source of this 868-nucleotide long non-coding RNA. RefSeq lists it as uncharacterized. The transcript has 5 exons. The record is from RefSeq and is a predicted model, not a curated record. NCBI's taxonomy places the organism in Eukaryota, Viridiplantae, Streptophyta, Magnoliopsida, Asterales, Asteraceae.